This 107-nucleotide microRNA precursor is filed under the name Paramuricea clavata. Lineage: Eukaryota; Metazoa; Cnidaria; Anthozoa; Malacalcyonacea; Plexauridae. The record is from RNAcentral.
CUUAAAAAGUUCCUAACUUCCUGUUUCAUUGACCAAUCCGAUUGCUCAAAAAUAUAAAAUUUGAUUGGUCAAUGAAACAGGAAGUUAGGAACUUUCUAAGGAACUUA